Long non-coding RNA from Sander lucioperca (pikeperch), 484 nucleotides. RefSeq lists it as uncharacterized. The record is from RefSeq and is a predicted model, not a curated record. The transcript is spliced from 2 exons. Lineage: Eukaryota; Metazoa; Chordata; Actinopteri; Perciformes; Percidae.
UUCCUCUUAAGAGCUGUUCACAACACUGCUGAGAGUAACUUUUACUGAAUUCAUACAUAGGGGGUGACCCUGUUGCUAUGGGUGACAUGUUUCAUAAAUAAUGCUAGAUGGACAUAUUUCAUUCGAUAUUUUAGAAGUCAAAAAGUCUUAGUGACUAAAGAUUCCUCUGAAUGAAACAAAACAUCCUCUAUGUCCCCUAAAUAUGUAGCAUUAAAUAAAAGAUAUCUAAUAUGAUUGUAGUUCAAAGUUUUUUUAAGACUUUGAUGUGAUUUCUGGUGAAAUGUGCUGCUAAAAAUGCAGAUUUGGUCUUUUUUAUUUAUUUUUUAUUAAAAACUUAGCAUUGAAAUGUUCCCAAAUUCGUUAACUGCUGUCAGGUUGGUUUUCCAACUGAACGAUGACAAUAGGUUUCUGUAUCACCAUGCUCCUUUAUCUAGUACUCACAUUCUUCUGCCGUUUUAUUAAAAGCUGGUAUUCCAAAAAGCUA